Asparagus officinalis (garden asparagus) is the source of this 695-nucleotide long non-coding RNA. RefSeq lists it as uncharacterized. The record is from RefSeq and is a predicted model, not a curated record. The transcript has 2 exons. Lineage: Eukaryota; Viridiplantae; Streptophyta; Magnoliopsida; Asparagales; Asparagaceae.
CCUUCUGAACAGCAACCAAAUCUCCUCAAUUCAAAUUGCAACAUGCUAGCUUAUGAACGGAGGUUACAACAUCGCAAGUUUUCUAGCUUCUUCAUAGCAGUCAAUUGUUGUUGAUUUAAACAUUUUACUUGCUAAAUACUUAAUUAUUUAACUUUUGGUAUAUAAGUAAAAUUGGUUGAAACAUAUGUCAUCCCAACUUGGCAAUUUGACCUUAGUUCUUAAUAAACCCAUGAAAGAUUGAACAUACAUGUCAUACAAACAUAUCCUUAUCCUUCAAUCAUGGUAAAUAAACCAAGUCACCAACCCUGUGUUAAUGCCAUAAAGCUCUUGUGACUUGUAUUCAGAGAAAUGUAGAAGAUCACCAAGAGUAUUCACUCCGAGAUCACUUUGCAAAGAGGUUCCAAGUUUUCCUCCAAGUUGUUUCCUAUGAGGGAACAAUUUUCUGGAUAAAAGGGAUUUGCAUCAAUAGCGAACUUGGAACAAAAGUUUUGGUAUGUGUCACGUAAUAAAUGCAAGAAAACCAUCAGUGCAGAAUAUGGAAUGAAGUUUAACUGUAGGAAUUGUAACACUGAGAAAGCUACUGCACAGCCAACGUAGUCCAUUCCUUAAGUUUAGGGGUUAUCAGAAAACAUUUUUCUUAUGCCCCUCUUUUGUACUUAAUAUUUUUUCAAUGUUAGUCCCUUAAAUCUUUUGUA